RNAcentral lists this non-coding RNA (25 nucleotides) under Mus musculus (house mouse). Lineage: Eukaryota; Metazoa; Chordata; Mammalia; Rodentia; Muridae. The record is from RNAcentral.
UAUUAUACCCGGCUGGGGACCCGAA